This 986-nucleotide ribosomal RNA is filed under the name human gut metagenome. RNAcentral's name for it is "bacterial SSU rRNA". It matches the Rfam family "Bacterial small subunit ribosomal RNA", at positions 89 to 1069 of the family's 1533-position model. The record is from RNAcentral.
CGACGAGUGGCGAACGGGUGAGUAAUACAUCGGAACGUGUCCGCUCGUGGGGGACAACCAGCCGAAAGGUUGGCUAAUACCGCAUGAGUUCUACGGAAGAAAGAGGGGGACCCGCAAGGGCCUCUCGCGAGCGGAGCGGCCGAUGACUGAUUAGCCGGUUGGUGAGGUAACGGCUCACCAAAGCAACGAUCAGUAGCUGGUCUGAGAGGACGACCAGCCACACUGGGACUGAGACACGGCCCAGACUCCUACGGGAGGCAGCAGUGGGGAAUUUUGGACAAUGGGCGCAAGCCUGAUCCAGCUAUUCCGCGUGUGGGAUGAAGGCCCUCGGGUUGUAAACCACUUUUGUAGAGAACGAAAAGACACCUUCGAAUAAAGGGUGUUGCUGACGGUACUCUAAGAAUAAGCACCGGCUAACUACGUGCCAGCAGCCGCGGUAAUACGUAGGGUGCGAGCGUUAAUCGGAAUUACUGGGCGUAAAGGGUGCGCAGGCGGUUGAGUAAGACAGAUGUGAAAUCCCCGAGCUUAACUCGGGAAUGGCAUAUGUGACUGCUCGACUAGAGUGUGUCAGAGGGAGGUGGAAUUCCACGUGUAGCAGUGAAAUGCGUAGAUAUGUGGAAGAACACCGAUGGCGAAGGCAGCCUCCUGGGACAUAACUGACGCUCAGGCACGAAAGCGUGGGGAGCAAACAGGAUUAGAUACCCUGGUAGUCCACGCCCUAAACGAUGUUAACUAGUUGUUGGGAAGUAAAAUUCUCAGUAACGCAGCCAACGCGAGAAGUUAACCGCCUGGGAAGUACGGUCGCAAGACUAAAACUCAAAGGAAUUGACGGGGACCCGCACAAGCGGUGGAUGAUGUGGAUUAAUUCGAUGCAACGCGAAAAACCUUACCUACCCUUGACAUGUCAGGAAGCUCUUGUAAUGAGAGUGUGCCCGCAAGGGAGCCUGAACACAGGUGCUGCAUGGCUGUCGUCAGCUCGUGUCGUG